AUUGAACGCUGGCGGCAUGCCUAACACAUGCAAGUCGAACGGUAACAGGCCCUUCGGGUGCUGACGAGUGGCGGAUGGGUGAGUAAUACUUAGGAAUCUACCCUGUAGUGGGGGACAACCCGGGGAAACUCGGGCUAAUACCGCAUACACUCUACGGAGGAAAGCGGGGGACCGCAAGGCCUCGCGCUAUUGGAUGAGCCUAAGCCCGAUUAGCUAGUUGGUGGGGUAAUAGCCUACCAAGGCAGUGAUCGGUAGCUGGUCUGAGAGGACGACCAGCCACACUGGGACUGAGACACGGCCCAGACUCCUACGGGAGGCAGCAGUGGGGAAUAUUGGACAAUGGGCGAAAGCCUGAUCCAGCGAUGCCGCGUGUGUGAAGAAGGCCU
RNAcentral lists this ribosomal RNA (386 nucleotides) under uncultured bacterium. Its description in RNAcentral is "bacterial SSU rRNA". It matches the Rfam family "Bacterial small subunit ribosomal RNA", at positions 30 to 417 of the family's 1533-position model. The record is from RNAcentral.